RNAcentral lists this ribosomal RNA (253 nucleotides) under uncultured prokaryote. RNAcentral describes it as "partial 16S ribosomal RNA". It matches the Rfam family "Bacterial small subunit ribosomal RNA", at positions 524 to 776 of the family's 1533-position model. The record is from RNAcentral.
UACGGAGGGUGCAAGCGUUGUCCGGAUUUAUUGGGUUUAAAGGGUGCGUAGGCGGCUUUUUAAGUCAGUGGUGAAAGUUUUGGGCUCAACCCAGAAACUGCCAUUGAUACUGGGGAGCUUGAGUAUUGGAGGGGUACAUGGAAUUGAUGGUGUAGCGGUGAAAUGCAUAGAUACCAUCAGGAACACCGAUAGCGAAGGCAUUGUACUGGCCAAUAACUGACGCUGAUGCACGAAAGCAUGGGUAGCGAACAGG